Molecule: long non-coding RNA, 407 nt
Organism: Daucus carota subsp. sativus
Lineage: Eukaryota; Viridiplantae; Streptophyta; Magnoliopsida; Apiales; Apiaceae
Exons: 3
Source: RefSeq, a predicted model, not a curated record
AAGAAAUAUAAAUUCAAAAGUUCAGGAUCUGCAAAACAAGGCAAGUCGCAAAAGAGGCUUAAGCAAAAUUCUGAUGAUGAAGUAGAAGAACAGUUGAGCACAUUAGUCUUUGAUGAUUAUUGGAGUUUAAUCUGGAAAAGAAUACCUUCAGAGAGAAUAGAGGGAUGUGUGUAUUACCAUCCUUUAUCUUUUCGAAGCUAUUUGACUGAAAAAUCAGUUAAAAAACUGAAAAAAUGGGUAUCAAGACAUAAAGUGUUCUCAAGCAGAUAUGUCUUCAUUCCAAUGUGCCAAUCAAAUCACUGGAACAUGCUCAUUAUAUGCAACAUUGGCGAGGAUAUGAAUUCUAAAACAAAUAGUCCAUGCAUGUUCUUAUUGGACUCGCUUCAAAUCGGUGAAGCUACAAGACU